This 253-nucleotide ribosomal RNA is filed under the name uncultured bacterium. Its description in RNAcentral is "partial 16S ribosomal RNA". It matches the Rfam family "Bacterial small subunit ribosomal RNA", at positions 524 to 776 of the family's 1533-position model. The record is from RNAcentral.
UACGAAGGGUGCUAGCGUUGUUCGGAAUUACUGGGCGUAAAGCGCGCGUAGGCGGCUUGUCAAGUCAGGGGUGAAAUCCUGGGGCUUAACCCCAGAAUUGCCUUUGAAACUGUCAAGCUGGAGUGUCGGAGGGGAUAGCGGAAUUGCUAAUGUAGAGGUGAAAUUCGUAGAUAUUAGCAGGAACACCGGUGGCGAAGGCGGCUAUCUGGACGACAACUGACGCUGAGGCGCGAAAGCGUGGGGAUCAAACAGG